CACCGCCCGUCACUACCAUGAAAGCUUACUGUACCAGAAGUCAUCGUGCUAACCGUAAGGAGGUAGAUGCCUAAGGUAUGGUCAGUGAUUGGGGUG
Molecule: ribosomal RNA, 96 nt
Filed under: uncultured bacterium
Lineage: Bacteria
Description: partial 16S ribosomal RNA
Rfam family: Bacterial small subunit ribosomal RNA
Source: RNAcentral